UUCUAAUAGAUAUUUAUUAUUAGUAAUAUCUGCUCAAUGAAAUUUAUAUAGCCGCAAUUCUGUGCUAAGGUAGCAUAAUCAUUUGUCUUUUUAUUAAAGGCUAGAACGAAAGAUUUAACAUUUUAAUUUCUUUUAAAAAAUAAUAAUUCUAAAUUUUCUUAAAUAUAAAAAGAUAUUUAUAUAAAAAAUAGACGAUAAGACCCUAUUGAACUUAACUUUAGUUAAACUGGGGUAGUUAAUUAAUUAAAAUUUUAAUACUAAUUAUUUAGAUAAAAGACCCUAAAAAUUAGAUUUAAUAAUUAAGUUACCAUAGGGAUAACAGCGUAAUAUUUAUUUUAAGAUCUUAUAAAAAUAAAAGAUUGCGACCUCGAUGUUGAAUAAUAUUCUUUUAGGUGCAACCAUCUAAAAAGAAAGUCUGUUCGACUUUUAAAAAAUUACA
Molecule: ribosomal RNA, 439 nt
Filed under: Naevius sp. MR423
Lineage: Eukaryota; Metazoa; Arthropoda; Arachnida; Araneae; Macrobunidae
Description: partial 16S ribosomal RNA
Source: RNAcentral